RNAcentral lists this long non-coding RNA (1466 nucleotides) under Brassica napus (rape). Its description in RNAcentral is "long non-coding RNA (BNAP_LNC003314)". The record is from RNAcentral. Lineage: Eukaryota; Viridiplantae; Streptophyta; Magnoliopsida; Brassicales; Brassicaceae.
GUACAUAGAAGUGAUAUGGCUCUUGAGUUUUCCACCAGGACGGGUAAAUUCAUCAUCUACUUCGUAGCUAACAUUCGUCAUACGUUGAAAGUUAAGCAUUUCUUUUAGAAUUUGGCGUGGCAUAUUAGUUGGGUUCAAAAGCUCUUCGUUUAUCAUCUUAUUAGCGUUUGCAAUAAUUUGAUGAAGCUUUUCAAAUGCUUCUUUUUCGGUAACUCCAUAUUGCUUCUUGUAACAGUUGAUCGAGUUCGUGACAUAUCCUCUGCUCAUGUCAUCCUAAUGAAUGUCACACAUAUAAGUUUGAUUAUUAAUAAACAACAUAUGAAUUACUAGAAUAAAAAUAACUUUCCACCAUGUGUACCUCGUAACCAUGAAUAUCAUUCAGCACUCUUGUUACUGUAAACAUUGCUCUCACAAGUUUGUCUCUAGAUUUCAACCACUCAUAAGCUUCUUUCUUGCAGAUAUCUUUCAUAGCCAUCAAAAUACCUGCUAUGGUGAAUUCCACAGCGACUUCGACUCCAGCGACGUCUAGAUACUCCUCAAAACUAGGGACGUGAUACGCUUCUGCCCAUGUAGCGAGCUGAAGAUUGGCUCUCACGUAUCCCUUGCACUGCAAUUCUCACAAUGUAAACAUUGCACUAUUAAGUUCUUCAGAAAAUCAUUUGAAAAUGGUUAUUCGUAAACACAUGCAUUAUACUAACAGAGAAAAUUAAUUUACUGUAUGAUUACCUCAUCAAUUGUAGCUUUUAAGCUGUAAGAUCCUCCUAAUUCUGAUGCCACUUCUCUUUCAAACUCUUGGACAGUAUCGAAUAUAUAUUUAACCACAAAUUUCAAAUAAUCAGGUUGGCCAUCCAUGGUAUCAUCGAGAUCCCACCUAAAUGCAUUAUCAAUUUUUUUUCUUUUUAGAUGUGGACCAGAUUAAGAACUCAUUACAAAAAUAAUAAUUUAACAUCAUUUUUAUUUUAAAAAAUUCCAAUGUCCUUUUUGUAACGACGUUAAAACUGAAAUUUAAGGUUUCUUGUUAGGGCUAAAAAUUUUGGCAUCGAUUUUUCAACGACUCAGAAAUUGAAAUUUAACGUCACUUAUUUCUUAUUAUAGUGCCAUGGAGCUAUAACUAAUAUUUUUGCAUGGCGUUUAAUAGUACUAGGAUCUAACCUGCGUUUUGCACAGUUUUAUUUAUUAUUAUAUUUUUUUAAUGUUCCGCAGCCCGUAACCACUCUUAUGAGCUUUCCGCAACCCGUAGUCACCCCUGACCCGGAGCCAGUCGACGCUAAUACCUUUAAGUGGCGUAAAGUACUCCGUGGCCACGUAAGGUUUAGGGACGAAUCGAACCCAAGGAUGCGCAGCCAAACAGCUUGACGCUUAACUCUAGCGGGUACUACUAGCCCACCACUACGUGAUUACAGUUUUAUUUUAUUUUGAUUGAAAACUUAAAAACUUGUAUGAAAAGGUGUUGUAAGUGUUUAGAG